UUGCUUUUGCAGCACAUACAAGCGCCCUGGAACAGUACAGACAGGAUUAUGCUGGCUCCUGCCCAAGCAUAACAUGCAGAUUAAUGAAGUGCUCCAUGUUACA
Molecule: small nuclear RNA, 103 nt
Organism: Erinaceus europaeus (western European hedgehog)
Lineage: Eukaryota; Metazoa; Chordata; Mammalia; Eulipotyphla; Erinaceidae
Source: Ensembl